AUUGAACGCUGGCGGCAGGCCUAACACAUGCAAGUCGAGCGGGUGAAGGGAGCUUGCUCCUGGAUUCAGCGGCGGACGGGUGAGUAAUGCCUAGGAAUCUGCCUGGUAGUGGGGGAUAACGUCCGGAAACGGGCGCUAAUACCGCAUACGUCCUGAGGGAGAAAGUGGGGGAUCUUCGGACCUCACGCUAUCAGAUGAGCCUAGGUCGGAUUAGCUAGUUGGUGGGGUAAAGGCCUACCAAGGCGACGAUCCGUAACUGGCCUGAGAGGAUGAUCAGUCACACUGGAACUGAGACACGGUCCAGACUCCUACGGGAGGCAGCAGUGGGGAAUAUUGGACAAUGGGCGAAAGCCUGAUCCAGCCAUGCCGCGUGUGUGAAGAAGGUCUUCGGAUUGUAAAGCACUUUAAGUUGGGAGGAAGGGCAGUAAGUUAAUACCUUGCUGUUUUGACGUUACCAACAGAAUAAGCACCGGCUAACUUCGUG
This 484-nucleotide ribosomal RNA is filed under the name uncultured bacterium. RNAcentral's name for it is "partial 16S ribosomal RNA". It matches the Rfam family "Bacterial small subunit ribosomal RNA", at positions 30 to 507 of the family's 1533-position model. The record is from RNAcentral.